This 427-nucleotide ribosomal RNA is filed under the name uncultured bacterium. RNAcentral's name for it is "partial 16S ribosomal RNA". It matches the Rfam family "Bacterial small subunit ribosomal RNA", at positions 355 to 774 of the family's 1533-position model. The record is from RNAcentral.
UGGGGAAUAUUGCACAAUGGGCGCAAGCCUGAUGCAGCCAUGCCGCGUGUAUGAAGAAGGCCUUCGGGUUGUAAAGUACUUUCAGCGGGGAGGAAGGGAGUAAAGUUAAUACCUUUGCUCAUUGACGUUACCCGCAGAAGAAGCACCGGCUAACUCCGUGCCAGCAGCCGCGGUAAUACGGAGGGGGCAAGCGGUAAUCGGAAUUACUGGGCGUAAAGCGCACGCAGGCGGUUUGUUAAGUCAGAUGUGAAAUCCCCGGGCUCAACCUGGGAACUGCAUCUGAUACUGGCAAGCUUGAGUCUCGUAGAGGGGGGUAGAAUUCCAGGUGUAGCGGUGAAAUGCGUAGAGAUCUGGAGGAAUACCGGUGGCGAAGGCGGCCCCCUGGACGAAGACUGACGCUCAGGUGCGAAAGCGUGGGGAGCAAACA